RNAcentral lists this ribosomal RNA (935 nucleotides) under uncultured archaeon. RNAcentral describes it as "bacterial SSU rRNA". It matches the Rfam family "Archaeal small subunit ribosomal RNA", at positions 1 to 922 of the family's 1478-position model. The record is from RNAcentral.
UCCGGUUGAUCCUGCCGGAGCCUACUGCUAUCGGUUUAGGACUAAGACAUGCAAGUUCAGCGACUCAGCAAGAGUUGCAGCGAACCGCUCAGUAACGAGUAGUCAACCUACCCCAUGGAGGAGGACAACUGCGGGAAACUGCAGUUAAUCCCCCAUAAACGAGGCACGCUGGAAUGCUGUCUCGCUAAAAAGGGUCAAUCUUAUGCUGAUUGAUACCGCCAUGGGACGGGACUGCUUCCGAUCAGGUAGUAGGUGGGGUAAUGGCCCACCUAGCCUCAGACCGGUACGGGCCGUGAGAGCGAUAGCCCGGAGAUGGAUACUGAGACAACGAUCCAGGCCCUACGGGGUGCAGCAGUCGCGAAACCUGGCCAAUGAGCUCAAGCUUGAGCCGGCUAAACCGAGUGGGGUCCUAGCGGGUCCCUUUUAACGAGUGUUAGUAGCUCGUUGAAUAAGGAGAGGGCAAGACUGGUGCCAGCCGCCGCGGUAAAACCAGCUCUUCGAGUGGUGGGCGUGCUUACUGGGCCUAAAGCAUCCGUAGCCGGGUCUGCAAGUCCACAGUUAAAGCCCACGUCUUAAGCGUGGAAUCGCUGUGGAUACUACAGACCUUGGGAUCGGGAGAGGCGUGAGGUACGUUUCGGGUAGGGGUGAAAUCCGAUAAUCCGAAACGGACCACCGGUGGCGAAGGCGUCACGCUAGAACGAGUCCGACGGUCAGGGAUGAAAGCCAGGGGAGCGAGCCGGAUUAGAUACCCGGGUAGUCCUGGCUGUAAACGAUGCCCGCUAAGUGUUGCGCAUGGCACGACUAUGCGCAGUGCCGAAGGGAAGCCGCUAAGCGGGCCGCCUGGGGAGUACGGUCGCAAGACUGAAACUUAAAGGAAUUGGCGGGGGAGCACCACAAGGGGUGGAGCCUGCGGUUUAAUUGGAUUCAACGCCGGG